UACGUAGGGUGCGAGCGUUGUUCGGAAUUACUGGGCGUAAAGGGCGCGUAGGCGGGUUUGUAAGUCGAUUGUGAAAUCCCUGGGCUUAACCUGGGAACUGCAGUCGAAACUGCAAAUCUUGGAUACCUGAGAGGAUGGCGGAAUUCCCGGUGUAGAAGUGAAAUUCGUAGAUAUCGGAAGAACACCUGAGGCGAAGGCGGCUGUCUGGCGGUGUAUCGACGCUGAGGCGCGAAAGCGUGGGGAGCAAACGGAUUAAGAUACCCAGUA
Molecule: ribosomal RNA, 267 nt
Filed under: uncultured bacterium
Lineage: Bacteria
Description: partial 16S ribosomal RNA
Rfam family: Bacterial small subunit ribosomal RNA
Source: RNAcentral